UACAGAGGGGGCAAGCGUUAUUCGGAAUUAUUGGGCGUAAAGAGCUUGUAGGCGGUUUGUCGCGUCUGCUGUGAAAUUUCGGGGCUCAACCCCGAACUUGCAGUGGGUACGGGCAGACUAGAGUGUGGUAGGGGAGACUGGAAUUCCUGGUGUAGCGGUGAAAUGCGCAGAUAUCAGGAGGAACACCGAUGGCGAAGGCAGGUCUCUGGGCCACUACUGACGCUGAGAAGCGAAAGCAUGGGGAGCGAACAGG
RNAcentral lists this ribosomal RNA (253 nucleotides) under uncultured bacterium. RNAcentral's name for it is "partial 16S ribosomal RNA". It matches the Rfam family "Bacterial small subunit ribosomal RNA", at positions 524 to 776 of the family's 1533-position model. The record is from RNAcentral.